UACGUAGGGUCCGAGCGUUGUCCGGAGUUACUGGGCGUAAAGCGCGCGCAGGCGGCUCGUCAAGUCUGGCGUGAAAGCCCCCGGCUCAACCGGGGAGGGUCGUCGGAGACUGGCGAGCUUGAGGGCGGUAGGGGCUGGUGGAAUUCCCGGUGUAGUGGUGAAAUGCGUAGAGAUCGGGAGGAACACCUGUGGCGAAGGCGGCCAGCUGGGCCGUCCCUGACGCUGAGGCGCGAAGGCGUGGGGAGCGAACGGG
RNAcentral lists this ribosomal RNA (253 nucleotides) under uncultured bacterium. RNAcentral describes it as "partial 16S ribosomal RNA". It matches the Rfam family "Bacterial small subunit ribosomal RNA", at positions 524 to 776 of the family's 1533-position model. The record is from RNAcentral.